This 256-nucleotide unclassified non-coding RNA is filed under the name uncultured fungus. Its description in RNAcentral is "sequence contains ITS1, 5.8S rRNA gene". The stretch from base 208 to 256 matches the Rfam family "5.8S ribosomal RNA", at positions 1 to 49 of the family's 154-position model. The record is from RNAcentral. Lineage: Eukaryota; Fungi.
UCUCCGUUGGUGAACCAGCGGAGGGAUCAUUACUGAGUUUACGCUCUAUAACCCUUUGUGAACAUACCUAUAACUGUUGCUUCGGCGGGUAGGGUCUCCGCGACCCUCCCGGCCUCCCGCCUCCGGGCGGGUCGGCGCCCGCCGGAGGACCAAACCAAACUCUUGUAUUCUAAAGAAUCUUCUGAGUAACCAUAAGUAAUAAAUUAAAACUUUCAACAACGGAUCUCUUGGUUCUGGCAUCGAUGAAGAACGCAGC